UACGUAGGUGGCAAGCGUUGUUCGGAAUUACUGGGCGUAAAGCGCGUGUAGGCGGCUCUUCAAGUCAGGCGUGAAAGCCCCGGGCUUAACUCGGGAACUGCGCUUGAUACUGUCGAGCUAGAGUGUGGAAGGGGCGAUUGGAAUUCCGUGUGUAGCGGUGAAAUGCGUAGAGAUCCGGAAGAACACCGGUGGCGAAGGCGGUGAGCUGGGCAGUUGCUGACACUGAGGCGCGACAGCGUGGGGAGCAAACAGG
Molecule: ribosomal RNA, 253 nt
Filed under: uncultured bacterium
Lineage: Bacteria
Description: partial 16S ribosomal RNA
Rfam family: Bacterial small subunit ribosomal RNA
Source: RNAcentral